AUGGAGGCCGGAGGCCCGGAGGUGGCUCGGUCGGCGACUGUUUGCAAGCGGAUUGCGUGGUGGCUCCUUGUCGGGAUGGUGGUCUGGGGUAGCGUGGUCUGGGCAGUGCCUUCAGGAUGCUCUGGGCUUGCGCUGCCGGUGGUGCUCCGGCUAGUUUUGUGCGGUGCAGCAAGUAGCAUCUGCUGCUCCGAUCUGGUGGUGGUGUGUUGGAGACGUCGUCCCAGCAUAGGUGCUCGGUUCCCUGACGAAAGUCAUGCUCAACUACGGUUUGGGCUGAUGGCGAAUGAUGCCUUUGGGUGUGAUUUUCCUUGUUGA
RNAcentral lists this ribosomal RNA (315 nucleotides) under Triticum aestivum (bread wheat). RNAcentral describes it as "partial small subunit ribosomal RNA". The record is from RNAcentral. Lineage: Eukaryota; Viridiplantae; Streptophyta; Magnoliopsida; Poales; Poaceae.